Non-coding RNA from Vicugna pacos (alpaca), 1864 nucleotides. Lineage: Eukaryota; Metazoa; Chordata; Mammalia; Artiodactyla; Camelidae. The record is from RefSeq and is a predicted model, not a curated record.
GGGCUGGGAUGCUGGCCCCGGGCCAGGGAGACAGUUUUUUUCUGUUUAAAGCGUCGUCGCUGCCGCCUGGGGGAGCGAGGGUGUACGGGCGGGUGGAGGCUGCGGGUGGGGGGGCGGUCCCCGCCCCAGAUGCCCGGCCCGCCGGAACCCGCCGCCGCGCUGGGCCCUCUCCAGUGGGCCCUCACCUGGGACCGCUGGCUGCCCCUCCGGAUUCCUCUGGGCGGGGCCGGGAGGCCCGCGCCCACCUCCGCCCGGUCGCUUCAAAGUGGGAAACCGAGGCUGAGGGAGGAAGACGGGCCUGGCCCGGGGUCACAAGGACUGUCGGAAGCCAGGUGGAACUGGAACCCAGGCCUCUCAGCGAUUGCCCUUCCUCCCUUGCACAGGAAGGCACAACCUGUCUCCAGACCCUAAGGGCACAGGGGCUGGCACGCAGAGGGUGCUGAAGUUUGUCGAUUGACUGAAGAGAGCGAGACCACAAGAGCACCCCUCGUGUACAUGCACUUUACACUGGUAUGUUAUUCACCCAAUCAGUGACCCUACAAAAAGGAAGCCAAGGCUCUGAAAGAUGAAACCAUUAGACUCAAGUCAUCUGACAGGGAGGCAACGGAGCUGACUCUCAUGAAGCCCUAAGUGGAUGCUGACUACACAGAAAGAGUCCACCAUUGAGAAUCAGGCUCUAGACAUGCACUGCCUGGAGGCAGUGCACAGCCCCGCCACACCCCAGCAGGGUGACUGUGGUGGAUACAUCUCUUAAUUCAUCCAAGCUUCAGCUUCUCCAUCUGCAAACUGGGGCUGAUAAUAAGGUAUAACUCACAGGGUUGUCCUGAGUAUUAAAGGAGAUAAUUCAAGCUCUCAGCAGUGCCUGGACCAAAGGAAAAAUACCCCAAAGCUACAGGAGCUGAAGCUACCCUCUGCUGCUUCCAAUCUCUUGGAAAAGAUAAGCAGAAUGGCAACCAAACCAAGGUCAGAACUGUCUACAGGAGCACUGCAGUCCCAGCAGUCUGUUAAAUUUAAGUCACUUGCAACAGUUCGAGAGAAUUGGACCUGGAUGUUUUCCUCCAUGAAGAAGGCUCCAGGUGAUUCGGCAAGACAAAGCUUACACAUUUCUUUCUUUCCCCCAUAUCUCCUGGGGUCUGAGGUGUUCCCUCCCCAGGUGCCAAGGUUGCUGUUCUCCCUCUAUGGCCACAAAAUCGAUGUGUUCCAUUCCAGGAGUUAGAACUUCAACUUUUUUCCAAUCACCCCCUACUCACACCUUUCAUCUGCAAGGAUCGGGGGACAAAGACGUUUUUAUAAAACAUACAGGGAUCCAUUAGGUCCCCCAUCCUACACAUGGGCCACAGUUGGGGGACUCAAAGAGAGAGGUGUACACACCAGCACUCCAGUUAUUCUGAUGCAGGACUGUGUCUGUCCAACAAGAGAAUCCAAGUGGCUGAACAAUAAUAUAGUGAGAAUCACCUAAACCCCUUUCUGACUGGGCUGCCACCUGGAAUUGCAGCAACCAGGCUGGCCUGGGGUUGCUGUUAAGGGAAAGAAAGAAGCAUAAUGUCUAGGAAUAGUGAGUGUGGAACCCUAAAUUUUCAGAACUGGUCUAUGUAAACCCUACCCCUCUCAUCUUGAUCAUUACAUAGGACACAGCCUAGGGGAAAUGGUCCCAUCCUGGAGACAGCCACAUUCAGUGACUGAACUGCCAUAUGGAGGUGUGGGGACCUGGAGAGAGAGUCAGAAAUUUCUUUGAGUUAAUUUUUGAGGAUCAGCAUGAUUAUGGAUGAUAGGGAGCAUGGAAGGACCACCAAAUACCUAGAUUAUCAUAUUGAGUGGCUUUUGAGAUAAAAGAUGCACCAUUGUUAGACCAUUGGUCCAGAAA